RNAcentral lists this long non-coding RNA (774 nucleotides) under Gallus gallus (chicken). RNAcentral's name for it is "long non-coding RNA NONGGAT004262". Lineage: Eukaryota; Metazoa; Chordata; Aves; Galliformes; Phasianidae. The record is from RNAcentral.
AGUCCCCUUCUGACACGUCAACACCAGAGAGACAUGCCUUACUCACAGGGCUAGGCCCAAGGAGUUUGCUGACAAGGCUUUUAACAAAACAAUAACUAAUCGGGUGCAGUAUUGCUCUACAAUAUCUAUCUAUCCCAGUCCAAAAUGAGGAUAGAUGCAGCUGAUUAUUCUCAAAUAAUGGGAUUUCCGGUUAAUAAAUUGACAUGUCCGUAUUUCAUGCAGCCGUUCUUGUAAGCAGAUCUCCGUGCAAAAAUGUUUAUGCAGAAGAGCAGGAUGAAGCUGGAAGAAAUUUAACAGGCAGGAAUUAUCCAAUUAAGAGUCGUGUAAGCAUUUGGAAUUAGUUCUAAAGGCUCCGUAGAAAGACUCUACUGCAGUAAACAUCUCAUCGUCAUUAAUUCUGUCCAGAUUCAUUUGAAGCAUAUCCCUUCCUGAAGAUCCAGUAAUAAUUUCUAAUCAAGAGAUUACAGGAGCAGCAAGAAGCCAGCUGGUCUAGGCCGUGUAACUCUUGGUGCAAGGUGAAUACAGAGGAAGUGGCAUUCUAUGCCUAAGAGAGAUUGGACUCAUUUAUACAGCCAUAAUUCUACAAUUUCUGCAACUUUUUCUAUGUGUAUCUUCUGUAUGAUACAGUCCCAACAUUGCCAAAGUUCUGUUUUCCUAAGCCAUGCUGAUGACAGCUUAGGUUUGCUGCCUCUCCUUCAGCAUGCCUCCAAAUCCCUGUUGGUGUCACUGAAGCAAUUUGUACACAAGAACAAAUGCCUUCAAAAUGAGCACGGC